CCCUCAUGAACUCACUCUUGAAAUUAGAGCAUGGAACUGAGCUCACAUGUUGCAGACUCACUUAUGUGUUAUCACAAUUCAACAACCUCAGCAAUUGUUUAGAACAUAGACCAACUAAAGGUUUUUUGCGGAUGUGUGUGUGUAUUUUACCAUUGGUGUUGCUUAAAAUUUCAGGCACAUGGUGAUGAGAAAAAGCAGAUGAAUUUCUAGUCACCUUAAAAAUUAUUAUUUUAAAUUCUCUACAGCCAAUGCACGUCCUUAUUGCCCAUACCUGAGACUGAUUGCUCCCGCCCUUGUUACACCACUGAGUAAAAACCACACUGGGAGCUGGGAGUUAGGAUUUCUGGGACCUGGUCUCUUUUCUGCCUGUAACUUCCGGGUUCUUAACUGGGCAAUUCUCGUUUCCUCCUGGGGCCUCCGUUUUCCUAGCUGUAAAUGAAGGGGGCUGGACCUGGGUCAUCCCUAAAAUUUCUUUUCUGCUCCAAACGCUGGUUUGAAAAGUCAUCUUUCACCUGAGAGAGGAGACUGGAGAACACUUUUGGAAUCUGAAUUUGUCUCUGUUCUGGAAGCUACACUGAUUUAUGGGGACGAGCCAGGGAAAGUAGAUCAUCUGCCUUUGAUUUAUGUCAGAGCCAUGAUGUGCUCAGGCUUCUGCCGUCCCGAGGAGCUGGGGAUGAAGGAGAGAAGGUUUCGGGGUUGAGCGUGAGGGGGAGGAAGAGGAGGAAGCUAUGACCUGCUGAGGGCAGUGAUGAUGGUGCCAGCAAACAUUUAUUGAGUGCUUAUUACAUGCUUGGGCAUGGGAUCGUCAUAACAGAAUGGUGAUGAAGACAGUACUCGUUGUCCCUACUUUACAGAUGGAGAAAUUGAAACUGUGCUCAAGGUCGUAUGGUUGGUAAAUAGUGGUCGUGGGAUUUGAACCCAGGUCAUCUGGCUCCAGACUCCGUCUUUUAACUGCUGUGGUAGAAGGUUAAGGGUGUGAGUUGCUGUUCUCUCCUAGCCUUUGGGUGUCUGCUCAGUGCUGGCCGUGUCCAGAGCAGUCAGUUACUGGGUCUGGCAUUGUAGGAAGGGCAUGUGAGGCUCUGAUGAAGGUAGGGUUUGGCUUUGUUUCAGGUCUUUAUUGUUUCUAGCACAUUGUACAAUCGCUAAUUGUUAAUGUUCAGUGGGGGCUUUGAGUCUCUGAUCUAUCUUACUCCCAUUUGAGGCUAGAGAAAUUGAAGCUCCAAGCAGGACAAGUGGCUUGUUUAAGAUCACCCAGAUUUAAGGGCACCAGUGGAACCAGGAUCUCACCACUCGUCCUGCCUUAACAGGUGAACUCGCCCCCAUGACACUAAGGGUCUGGCCUGGCUUCUUCCCACAAUCUCCACCCUUGACUCUGGGGUUCCCAGAGCACAUCUUUCUAGGAAGUAUUCAGGCCUGUGCCCUGUUGUGGCUCUUGGCUGCCCUCAGAGUCAAGUACUUGCUUAAACAGAGAUGUGGCAUUCAACCCUUUCCCACCCCACCCCUGGAACGUUUUGUCCAUGGGUGGUCUCUGUUGUUCCAGUACUAAAAUGGGUUUCAUAAUGAUUUUGAAAUUUAUCUACUUUACAAAGCACUAUUUCUUUCUGUAAAUAACCUGAAAGGCUUACAUUACACAUUGUUAUUCCACUCAUUCAGCAAAUAUUUGAUCACUUACUGUAUCUUUUCUAGGCACUGGAGUCAAAGAUGGACACAGUUCCUGCCUUCACUAAGCUUAUAGUCUAGAGGGGGACAGAUAUUACGUAAGCCACAAAAUAGUGGUGUAAUUACACUUGCCAUUAUUUAAUCUGCAUUUGUGUGCAAGAGUAUGGAGAUUUAUUUUCCUAAGUGUUACGGGCAGUCCAAAAAGCACUAUGAGCUGUUUUCUAACCAUAGCUUUUUCCUGAAAUCUUAUAUUUCAUUUUUAUUAUAUCUCACUUUGUUUAAAAAAUGUGGCAUAUUUUACAGUAUAUUGUCAAAAAUGUCACAUUGUUCUUUAUCGAAAACAAAUGAAAUUUACCUUGUAACCAAGUCUCUCUUUCUGAAAUAGCUAUAGAUCUGAGCAGAGAACAAUGGAAGGUAAUACAUUUUCUACUGUGAUUGCCUUAACAUUCAUCAUCUUUCCUCAGUAUCUUUUUUUUAUUAAAAAUUAAAGGUUAGAAAGUCCAUUUUGUUUGUAUUUCAGUCAAAGUUUGUUGAAGAUUGCAACUGGCUGGGGCUUCCCUGAAUCUGUCUGUAAUGAGUUGGAAUACCUGGUAUAUGUUAUGAAGCCACAGUUGAUUUUCUUUCUGGAUGUUUCCAUUGUGGCACGCCAAUUUUCCAAAGCAGCUUCACAGUGCACCGUGGUAAUCCCAUUUUACAGAGCAGAACAAGUAAGGUGAUGUUUCUUGGGUAAGACAACCGAGAACAGGAUUACUGACUAUAAGUUUGUGAAUCUUCUCACGGGUGAUAUUUAUUCCUCUGAAACCUAGACAGACCUGAGUUGGAAUCACACCAGCUCCACUUUCACUCAUCCAUUCAUCCAACAAGUCUUUAUUGAGCGUUUUCCACAAGCCUGAUGCUACUAAAUGCUGAGAACACACAAAGAAGCCCAAGUCUCAGCUUUCAGGAAGCUCAUAUUCUAAUUGGGUUGACCACUACAGACAAGUCAAUAAAUAAGAGGAAAACUUCAAGUUAUGAUAAGGACAGUGGAGUAAAAUACCAGGGUUGUGGGAAUAAGACUAACUUGGUGAUGGCGAGGGUCACAACUUUUUUGAGGAAGUAACAAUUAAGUUGAGUGUCAAAGGAAAAGAAGAAACCAGCCGGUUGAGGACUGAAGAGAGAGCAUCACACACACACAAAGGCUCUCAGAUGAAAGAAACGCAGCUUGAACUGGUCAAAGCAGAAAGAAAAAUUACUGGCCAACGUAAUGAGAAAACAAGAGUGGAGCUGAGCUUCAGGCAUGGCGAGAGAUAACAGCGAAGCCCUCAGCCGUCCUCAGUGCCUCCCGGGCCUCCAAGAGGAAGAAUUGUAAUAACAAUUGUGAACUUCUUUGGCCUCCUCCAAAGGAAAGGGUGAGGUAGAAAGAAAUGGUCUCAAAGCUCGGGCUGUCUGGUUCCAGCCCACACUUCACAACCUCGCUGCUACGCCAUGAGUCAUCGCGAAGAGCAACAUCACUUCCCUCUGACUGUGGGCGUUGCCACUCUCCUGAGCCUUCCUUGGCCAGGAGCGCCUCUGUGGCCCGCUUCACUCCCCAUCAGGGAUUAGCUGAGCCAUCUCUGAGACUGCAUGAUGUGCUGGUCACUGAACAUUGGAUGUCCAACUGCUCUGUUGAAGAAUAGCAUCAACAAUGAUGUGAAUUUUCUCUUCCAUUGUCCCAUUCAGUCCUAGAUUUUUUCAUUUCCUUCUUGUUCAAGAUAAUGAGGUCCUAUCAUGCCAAGCACAUGGAAAC
Molecule: long non-coding RNA, 3424 nt
Filed under: Equus caballus (horse)
Lineage: Eukaryota; Metazoa; Chordata; Mammalia; Perissodactyla; Equidae
Description: lncRNA (ENSECAG00000029056.3)
Source: RNAcentral